UACGUAUGGUGCAAGCGUUGUCCGGAAUUACUGGGCGUAAAGAGUUCGUAGGCGGUUAAAUAAGUCAGAAGUGAAAGGCUACGGCUCAACCGUAGUAAGCUUUUGAAACUGUCUGACUUGAGUACUGGAGAGGAAAGUGGAAUUCCUAGUGUAGCGGUGAAAUGCGUAGAUAUUAGGAGGAACACCAGUGGCGAAGGCGGCUUUCUGGACAGUAACUGACGCUGAGGAACGAAAGCGUGGGGAGCAAACAGG
RNAcentral lists this ribosomal RNA (252 nucleotides) under uncultured bacterium. RNAcentral describes it as "partial 16S ribosomal RNA". It matches the Rfam family "Bacterial small subunit ribosomal RNA", at positions 524 to 776 of the family's 1533-position model. The record is from RNAcentral.